CAUAGCUCAGUCGGUAGAGCACCUGACUGUUAAUCAGGGUGUCACUGGUUCAAGUCCAGUUG
This 62-nucleotide transfer RNA is filed under the name Ruminococcus champanellensis. It matches the Rfam family "tRNA", at positions 6 to 65 of the family's 71-position model. Rfam says of the family: Transfer RNA (tRNA) molecules are approximately 80 nucleotides in length. Their secondary structure includes four short double-helical elements and three loops (D, anti-codon, and T loops). The record is from RNAcentral. RNAcentral also lists the same sequence under 3 other names. Lineage: Bacteria; Bacillati; Bacillota; Clostridia; Eubacteriales; Oscillospiraceae.